RNAcentral lists this transfer RNA (224 nucleotides) under Heliconius melpomene (postman butterfly). Its description in RNAcentral is "tRNA HMEL012648". Lineage: Eukaryota; Metazoa; Arthropoda; Insecta; Lepidoptera; Nymphalidae. The record is from RNAcentral.
UUACUUAAAAGUUGUGGGUACAAUCUUAAUUGGAAUUAAUGUUUAGGAAUAUUUAAAAAAUACUUGCAUUUUCAAAAAUAGAAAAAAAGCUGGAAAUAAUAAGCUAUUAAGCAUGUUUGUAUUUUGUAAAAUGUUGUUACUGUACUAAGGAGAACAGUAGUUAGAAACGAACUGACGUCCUAGACGUUUUUCAAGAGGCGCGGGUUCAAUUCCCGCUACGUAAA